AACGAACGCUGGCGGCAUGCCUAACACAUGCAAGUCGAACGAGACCUUCGGGUCUAGUGGCGCACGGGUGCGUAACGCGUGGGAACCUGCCUUUAGGUUCGGAAUAACUCAGAGAAAUUUGAGCUAAUACCGGAUGAUGUCUUCGGACCAAAGAUUUAUCGCCUUUAGAUGGGCCCGCGUUGGAUUAGCUAGUUGGUGGGGUAAAGGCCUACCAAGGCGACGAUCCAUAGCUGGUCUGAGAGGAUGAUCAGCCACACUGGGACUGAGACACGGCCCAGACUCCUACGGGAGGCAGCAGUGGGGAAUAUUGGACAAUGGGCGAAAGCCUGAUCCAGCAAUGCCGCGUGAGUGAUGAAGGCCUUAGGGUUGUAAAGCUCUUUUACCCGAGAUGAUAAUGACAGGAUCGGGAGAAUAAGCUCCGGCUAACUCCG
Molecule: ribosomal RNA, 431 nt
Filed under: uncultured bacterium
Lineage: Bacteria
Description: partial 16S ribosomal RNA
Rfam family: Bacterial small subunit ribosomal RNA
Source: RNAcentral